Pipra filicauda (Wire-tailed manakin) is the source of this 612-nucleotide long non-coding RNA. RefSeq lists it as uncharacterized. The transcript is spliced from 2 exons. The record is from RefSeq and is a predicted model, not a curated record. NCBI's taxonomy places the organism in Eukaryota, Metazoa, Chordata, Aves, Passeriformes, Pipridae.
GAUGGAUCACUUCCAGCUCAGGAUAUUCUAUUCUAUUCUGUUAUGUUCUAUGACUUUAAAAGCUGCCUUUUCUCUGCACACACACAAGCCCAGCUAGUGCCGUCAUAGUUUGCCUGCUCCUCUCCAUGUCUAGUGUACUUCCCGGGGUACUUAAGUAUUCCCCGAAGAUCACGCUGCUUCUCCAGUCCCAUCACUUACAGCACGUUCCCAUUGUUUAGAGAGCAUAUGGAUCAGAACAACAUCUGUGUACACCACGGAGGCCACGGUUCCCAUCAGUUUUUGAUGAAUGGACCUCCACCAACCUUCAGUGCUCCUCGCAGAACGCCACGCACCGCUAUUACCUAAAAAUUAAUUGGAAACAUUAUUGGAAACAUUGCUUAAUGUAGCUCCAGAGACUGGCUGGGAAUUAAUGACUAUGGCUAGCUCUACCCCAUCCAAAAUUUCUUCUGAAAAACCUCAGGUGGUAAGGACAAACUGGAUAGAGAGCAGAGGGAAUGAUCCAGUCCCAGGAACUGAGCUGCAGUCCUGAAGGGUGACUCUGUUUUAUUUCAUCAGAUGCCUGAUCAUGGGAAUAUAUCAAAUAAACAAAAAUUUUUGGCAUCAGCCAUUUUA